CGGCGGACGGGUGAGUAACGCGUGGGUAACCUGCCUCAUACAGGGGGAUAACAGCUAGAAAUGACUGCUAAUACCGCAUAAGACCACAGCACCGCAUGGUGCGGGGGUAAAAACUCCGGUGGUAUGAGAUGGACCCGCGUCUGAUUAGCUAGUUGGUAAGGUAACGGCUUACCAAGGCGACGAUCGGUAGCCGGACUGAGAGGUUGAACGGCCACAUUGGGACUGAGACACGGCCCAG
RNAcentral lists this ribosomal RNA (238 nucleotides) under uncultured bacterium. Its description in RNAcentral is "partial 16S ribosomal RNA". It matches the Rfam family "Bacterial small subunit ribosomal RNA", at positions 96 to 334 of the family's 1533-position model. The record is from RNAcentral.